Molecule: long non-coding RNA, 360 nt
Filed under: Fukomys damarensis (Damara mole-rat)
Lineage: Eukaryota; Metazoa; Chordata; Mammalia; Rodentia; Bathyergidae
Description: lncRNA (ENSFDAG00000026980.1)
Source: RNAcentral
CAGGAGCCAGGGCACCCCAUUUGAAUCCUGGUGCAGGGCCUCCAGAAGGGGCUGAGUCACUGCUUUGGGGGCCUUAUCUGCCCAGGGCUAUGGAGACCAAACAGAGCAAGGCACCAAAGGUCCCAUCUGAGCACCUCCCCGUCACUGCCAGAGAUGGGUCCUGUGCCCGCUGGGCCUGGUUCCUCAUCAGAACGACAGAUGGCAGAGACUGCACCCAAAGAACGGCUCUAAGAAACCAACGAGGCCGGGAGAAAGUGCUGUGAGAACUGAACGAACACGAACUGUUGCCACUGUCACGAUUUGCGUCUAAGCACUUUUUCGUCAGUGGAAUCGUCUGCAGGAAAUAAAUUGCUGACACCG